This 532-nucleotide ribosomal RNA is filed under the name Colletotrichum boninense. RNAcentral's name for it is "SSU rRNA". It matches the Rfam family "Eukaryotic small subunit ribosomal RNA", at positions 569 to 1107 of the family's 1831-position model. The record is from RNAcentral. Lineage: Eukaryota; Fungi; Ascomycota; Sordariomycetes; Glomerellales; Glomerellaceae.
AGCAGCCGCGGUAAUUCCAGCUCCAAUAGCGUAUAUUAAAGUUGUUGUGGUUAAAAAGCUCGUAGUAGAACCUUGGGCCUGGCUGGCCGGUCCGCCUCACCGCGUGCACUGGUCCGGCCGGGCCUUUCCCUCUGUGGAACCGCAUGCCCUUCACUGGGUGUGCCGGGGAAACAGGACUUUUACUUUGAAAAAAUUAGAGUGCUCCAGGCAGGCCUAUGCUCGAAUACAUUAGCAUGGAAUAAUAGAAUAGGACGUGUGGUUCUAUUUUGUUGGUUUCUAGGACCGCCGUAAUGAUUAAUAGGGACAGUCGGGGGCAUCAGUAUUCAAUUGUCAGAGGUGAAAUUCUUGGAUUUAUUGAAGACUAACUACUGCGAAAGCAUUUGCCAAGGAUGUUUUCAUUUAUCAGGAACGAAAGUUAGGGGAUCGAAGACGAUCAGAUACCGUCGUAGUCUUAACCAUAAACUAUGCCGACUAGGGAUCGGACGAUGUUAUUUUUUGACUCGUUCGGCACCUUACGAGAAAUCAAAGUGCU